This 403-nucleotide ribosomal RNA is filed under the name bacterium. RNAcentral describes it as "partial 16S ribosomal RNA". It matches the Rfam family "Bacterial small subunit ribosomal RNA", at positions 355 to 776 of the family's 1533-position model. The record is from RNAcentral.
UGGGGAAUAUUGCACAAUGGGGGAAACCCUGAUGCAGCGACGCCGCGUGAACGAAGAAGGUAUUCGUAUCGUAAAGUUCUGUCCUAUGGGAAGAUAAUGACAGUACCAUAGAAGAAAGCUCCGGCUAAAUACGUGCCAGCAGCCGCGGUAAUACGUAUGGAGCGAGCGUUGUCCGGAAUUAUUGGGCGUAAAGGGUACGCAGGCGGUUUAAUAAGUCGAAUGUUAAAGAUCGGGGCUCAACCCCGCAAAGCAUUGGAAACUGAUAAACUUGAGUAGUGGAGAGGAAAGUGGAAUUCCUAGUGUAGUGGUGAAAUACGUAGAUAUUAGGAGGAAUACCAGUAGCGAAGGCGGCUUUCUGGACACAAACUGACGCUGAGGUACGAAAGCGUGGGGAGCAAACAGG